UAGAUUUAGCCUUCAUAAUUUCUCUCAGUUUUCAAAAUUUCUCACUAUUAAUCAAACUAUGACCAUAUGAUUUUGAUUUUAGAUGUCGCUCAAAGGAGGAGAGAAAGUUUCUCAGUGAGGUAGGCUCAUACUCCGAUUCAUCUUUCUUCCUAACAGUGAUGAAGAACUUGCUGAGAUAAUCUUCAAGGACAGGUGGCUCAAUCUCUUCAAUAGCCCUAGCCUCACCUUCCUGCGCAAGAAACUGCUUUAAAAGAUUCAGGUCGUACAAGAAUAUGGUGGUGAUACUCUCCGAGAACCAAAUGAGGAAAGUCUUGCAGCAAGUGACUAAAUAUCACGGGUGGAUGAAGAUUUGUGGAGAAAUAUCAGCAAGAUUAGAACAUUUCAUAUUGGGGUUUGACUUCAUUGUGGAUACAUGGCCUGAAUUUAAAGCUUUGGUUGUACGCUCAAAUAAAAAAUAUUUAAAGUUGUAGUUUCUGGAGUCCUCUGUCAACGUAUAUGCUACAGAUCUGGAUGCACUAAGGCAUCUCCUGCAAAACAAAAAUGUCAUCGACUGGUCAAGAAACCAGAAUUUUGAAUGUGUGGACACGAGGCUGUUACCUGUUGUAAUAGAAGUGAUGAAACAUCAUCAGGUUCCCCUCUUACUUGGAUCGACUGCCGUGUUCCUCCGAGCGACAGAAGAUACCCUGGAACUCAAGCCAAUACCAGAAGGGUUUAUGCUUGAGAGUCUCAAACCAGAUCAAGCCAAAAUGGUUGACACUUCCUGGAAUUUCAGAAGAGAAUAUUCUGCUUGUUACAUCCAAGAAAUGAUACGAAAACUACCUUCAUGUUGUCUUUACAACAGUGAGGGACGCAUGGUUGGCUUUGCCAUCACCUACCACUAUGGCUGCAUUGGGAUGUUACAUGUGUUGGAGGAACACAGAGGGAAGGGAUACGCCAAGGUGAUUAUGUCACAUCUGGCUCGCAAGUGUUUUCAGAAGUGGCAAUGUGUAUCAGUAUUUAUUAAUCCAAAGAACACAAGGUCAAUAAAACUUAACGAAGCCAUAGGAUUUACUUUAGUACCAGAUUUGUUGUUUCAGACAAUAAAGACACAACACACAACACCAUCUCAAUUGUAAUUGAUUGAUAAGAUUACGAUUUCAUUUCGGCUGUUGCUCGUAUGUGAACAUCAAUUAUGAUUGGAAAAUGGGAUCGCCCUAAUAAUACCUUUGCUUCACAAAAGAUAAUUUUCUUUAUUGGUUAGGUAUCCGUUUGUGGGCAUAUACGCAUAGAUAUGCAAAUAACAAAGAUCCGGAAGGUAAUACUUUCAAUGUUGACAAACAAACAUGACGUCGCCCUGUGUAUCGGUGAUCGCGUCGGAAUUGAGCUUUUACCACGUGCUGUGUGCUGAAACAUUCCUUGGAGAGACAGUUCCAAAAGACUCUCGUCCUUGUUACAAAUAAGAACACUGGGCCCCUCGGGUGAAAAGGAUCAAAUGUUUGGAUUCACCAUUAACCUUACAUCUCUAAUGAUUCUGUUACCUCCACGAAAAUGUACUAGUGUCACAUCAAAAAGUAUUUCUGUGGCGCCCAAAGGAGAAACAAAACUCUACAUUAGACUUUCGUACGUAGAACUUUCUAUUUCUUACAUAGGACUUUUUAUCUCCUAAAUAUGACUUUUCAUCACUUUGAAGAUGUCUAAGCAUGCAAUGUUUCACCUCUUCCUUGUUUACAACAGAGAGAACUUUGCUACAUACAAAGGGAUCGGGAUCUUUGACAAUGUAUUUACAUUAUCUGAAGUAAAGUGAAGUGGAAAAUAGUUUCUAUAAUUGCAUCCAAAGCUUUAUCAUAACGUUAUACAGACAAACAUCGGAACAACCUCGUUAUAAAUGUGGCAAAUGUAUGUAGUUAAUUUCCCGCUGAACAUAUAUUUUGCAAAUGUGGUAAUAGAAGCAUGAUUUUCAAGUAAUCAAAUCAUGUUUAACCGCCUCUCUUAGAUAUCAUUUUGUUACGUUCUUGUGGUUUAAAAGAGAAUGAAGUAGCCCUUAUGUGGAAUACAAUGGACACUACCUUUUACAUAAAUCUUGCGUAACACAUAAUUAUGAAUAAACUGAUUCACAUCA
Molecule: long non-coding RNA, 2098 nt
Filed under: Haliotis rufescens (red abalone)
Lineage: Eukaryota; Metazoa; Mollusca; Gastropoda; Lepetellida; Haliotidae
Description: uncharacterized LOC124137183
Source: RNAcentral